This 679-nucleotide long non-coding RNA is filed under the name Trifolium pratense (red clover). RNAcentral describes it as "long non-coding RNA (TPRA_LNC007466)". The record is from RNAcentral. Lineage: Eukaryota; Viridiplantae; Streptophyta; Magnoliopsida; Fabales; Fabaceae.
UAUGGGAGAGAGAAAGAAGGUAAAUUUAAAGAGAAAAUCUAGUGUGAUAAGGAUUAAUGAUAUCAUGCACACUUAUUUAAUCUAAUGGCUAAAAUAAAUGGUUCACCGGUGAGGGACUUAAUUGAGCCCUCACCUUAGAGAUAAUAAUUUUUAAAGAUAAUAAUUUGUAAUUUGGCUAAAAUAAUUUUUUGGAGUUCUUUGAAGUUUUGUUUUGGUGGAAUGAGUUCUCUAAAGAUAAUAAUAAUAAUUUUAUUUUUUGAAAAAAAAAACACAAAAUUCUAAAUAAACAAAAUAUAGAUUUACAAAUGAAAAAUACCCCGUCAUAAAGAAAAUACAAACUUGCCGUCCGCCGCCUUAUCUUGCCGGAGCUCCACCGCCUCUGUAAUUUACAGAUAUUCAACGUUGGUAUAGAUUUGUUGUUUGUUCAUUAAUUUUUUGAGAUCUUGUUCGCUGCAAUUUAUCUAUUCAACUUUGCUAAAAAUCCCUAAAUGUUGGUUUCAGGAUUUUGCAAUGGAAUGGAUCGGUGGAUCUUGUCAUUGAUUCUUCAGAUCUUGUAGGUUCCAUCGCCAAGCAUUGAACUGAUGAUGAUGAUGAUGAUAAUGAUAAUGAUAAGGGAACAAUAGAAAAGAAUGUUAGUAGUGUUGAUAUUAUGGGUUCAAACCAAGAUGAGAGUGUUGUG